This 591-nucleotide long non-coding RNA is filed under the name Homo sapiens (human). Its description in RNAcentral is "HSALNT0370096". Lineage: Eukaryota; Metazoa; Chordata; Mammalia; Primates; Hominidae. The record is from RNAcentral.
AAAGCACUUGGAUAAAUUUUUCUGUCAACACUCAAAGUUGCAUAAACUCCUUAUUUUUACUUUUCCAAAUCCAGUAGGAGUUUCUCUGCCAGUUAUAGGGAAAUAUAUAGAAGGCGGACAUAUCAGGUGCUUCUCUUCCAAAUAAGCUUUCCUUGUGGCUUACGCUGUUCUUCACUUGGAUUUGAACCCGAUCAGCGGCUUUCCUUUCACCAAAGGAUCUUAUUUUUGUAAUUUGUCGGACUUUGCAAGAAUUGUGAUAUUCUCAGCCAGCCCUUUCUUCAUAAGGCAAAUACACCAGAGAGCUUGCUCCCUGUCUCCACUGUUGUGAGGACUUAGUGAGAAGGCAGUGGUCUACAAGCCAGGAAGUGGACCUUCACCAGAACCCGAACAUGCUGGCACCCUGAUCUCAGACUUCCAGCCUCCAGAACUAUGAAAAAUAAAUUUGUGUUGUUUGAGCCUCCCAGUCUAUGGUAUUUUGUUAUGGCAUCCCAAACUGAAUAAUAACACCUUCUAAAAUUUUGGGGGUAAUUUUUCACACAUUUCCAAAUUAAUAUUCAAAAUUUUCUAUCAUAAGUUUAAAUAGUUGCAAAG